UACACGACCGUACCGCAAACCGACACUGGUGCGCGAGAUGAGUAUUCUAAGGCGCUUGAGAGAACUCAGGAGAAGGAACUCGGCAAAUUGACACCGUAACUUCGGAAGAAGGUGUGCCUUUAGUAGGUGAAGUCCCUCGCGGAUGGAGCCCAAUGAGGUUGCAAAAAAUCGGUGGCUGCGACUGUUUAUUAAAAACACAGCACUCUGCAAACACGAAAGUGGACGUAUAGGGUGUGACGCCUGCCCGGUGCUGGAAGAUUAAAUGAUGGGGUGCAAGCUCUUGAUUGAAGUCCCAGUAAACGGCGGCCGUAACAAUAACGGUCCUAAGGUAGCGAAAUUCCUUGUCGGGUAAGUUCCGACCUGCACGAAUGGCGUAACGAUGGCCACACUGUCUCCUCCUGAGACUCAGCGAAGUUGAAAUGUUUGUGAUGAUGCAAUCUCCCCGCGGAAAGACGGAAAGACCCCAUGAACCUUUACUGUAGCUUUGUAUUGGACUUUGAACAGAUCUGUGUAGGAUAGGUGGGAGGCUUUGAAGCAGGGUCGCUAGAUCUUGUGGAGCCAACGUUGAAAUACCACCCUGGUGUGUUUGAGGUUCUAACCUAGGCCCGUAAUCCGGGUUGGGGACAGUGCAUGGUAGGCAGUUUGACUGGGGCGGUCUCCUCCCAAAGUGUAACGGAGGAGUUCGAAGGUACGCUAGUUACGGUCGGACAUCGUGACGAUAGUGCAAUGGCAUAAGCGUGCUUAACUGCGAGACUGACAAGUCGAGCAGAUGCGAAAGCAGGACAUAGUGAUCCGGUGGUUCUGUAUGGAAGGGCCAUCGCUCAACGGAUAAAAGGUACUCUGGGGAUAACAGGCUGAUACCGCCCAAGAGUUCAUAUCGACGGCGGUGUUUGGCACCUCGAUGUCGGCUCAUCUCAUCCUGGGGCUGUAGCCGGUCCCAAGGGUAUGGCUGUUCGCCAUUUAAAGAGGUACGUGAGCUGGGUUUAAAACGUCGUGAGACAGUUUGGUCCCUAUCUUCCGUGGGCGCUGCAGAUUUGAGGAAGCCUGCUCCUAGUACGAGAGGACCGGAGUGGACGCACCUCUGGUGUAUCGGUUGUCACGCCAGUGGCAUUGCCGAGUAGCUAUGUGCGGAAGAGAUAACCGCUGAAAGCAUCUAAGCGGGAAACUCGUUUCAAGAUGAGAUCUGCCGGGGCCUUGAGCCCCCUGAAGAGUCGUUCAAGACCAGGACGUUGAUAGGUCGGGUGUGGAAGCGCAGUAAUGCGUUAAGCUAACCGAUACUAAUUGCUCGUGCGGCUUGACCCC
Molecule: ribosomal RNA, 1302 nt
Filed under: metagenome
Description: bacterial LSU rRNA
Rfam family: Bacterial large subunit ribosomal RNA
Source: RNAcentral